Molecule: ribosomal RNA, 253 nt
Filed under: uncultured bacterium
Lineage: Bacteria
Description: partial 16S ribosomal RNA
Rfam family: Bacterial small subunit ribosomal RNA
Source: RNAcentral
UACGUAGGGUGCUAGCGUUGUCCGGAAUCAUUGGGCGUAAAGAGCUUGUAGGCGGCUCGGUAAGUCCGCUGUGAAAGUCCAGGGCUCAACCCUGGAAUGCCAGUGGAAACUGUCGAGCUAGAGUCCGGAAGAGGCGAGUGGAAUUCCUGGUGUAGCGGUGAAAUGCGCAGAUAUCAGGAGGAACACCAAUGGCGAAGGCAGCUCGCUGGGACGGUACUGACGCUGAGACGCGAAAGCGUGGGGAGCAAACAGG